Molecule: ribosomal RNA, 460 nt
Filed under: uncultured bacterium
Lineage: Bacteria
Description: partial 16S ribosomal RNA
Rfam family: Bacterial small subunit ribosomal RNA
Source: RNAcentral
CCUACGGGAGGCAGCAGUGAGGAAUAUUGGUCAAUGGACGAGAGUCUGAACCAGCCAAGUAGCGUGAAGGAUGACUGCCCUAUGGGUUGUAAACUUCUUUUAUAUGGGAAUAACAUGUUCCACGUGUGGGCUUUUGUAUGUACCAUAUAAAUAAGGAUUGGCUAACUCCGUGCCAGCAGCCGCGGUAAUACGGAGGAAUCGAGCGUUAUCCGGAUUUUUUUGGUUUAAAGGGAUCGUAGGUGGAUUGUUAAGUUAGUUGUGAAAGUUUGCGGGUCAACCGUAGAAUUGCAGUUGAAACUGGCAGUCUUGAGUAGAGUAGAGGUGGGCGGAAGUCGGGGUGUAGCGGUGAAAUGCUUAGAUAUCACGAAGAACUCCGAUUGCGAAGGCAGCUCACUGGACUGCAACUGACACUGAGGCUCGAAAGUGUGGGUAUCAAACAGGAUUAGAUACCCGAGUAGUC